This 254-nucleotide ribosomal RNA is filed under the name uncultured bacterium. RNAcentral's name for it is "partial 16S ribosomal RNA". It matches the Rfam family "Bacterial small subunit ribosomal RNA", at positions 524 to 776 of the family's 1533-position model. The record is from RNAcentral.
UACGAAGGGGGCUAGCGUUGCUCGGAAUCACUGGGCUUAAAGCGCGUGUAGGCGGGACGGCACGUCUGUCGCUGAAAUCCCCCGGCUUAACCGGGGAACUGGCGGAGAUACGACCGUCCUGGAGGGGCGUAGGGGGACCUGGAACUUCCGGUGGAGCGGUGAAAUGCGUUAAGAUCGGAAGGAACGCCCGUGGCGAAAGCGAGGUCCUGGACGCCUACUGACGCUGAGACGCGAAAGCCAGGGGAGCGAACGGG